RNAcentral lists this ribosomal RNA (774 nucleotides) under uncultured Neocallimastigales. RNAcentral's name for it is "partial large subunit ribosomal RNA". It matches the Rfam family "Eukaryotic large subunit ribosomal RNA", at positions 24 to 646 of the family's 3401-position model. Lineage: Eukaryota; Fungi; Neocallimastigomycota; Neocallimastigomycetes; Neocallimastigales. The record is from RNAcentral.
GUAGUCUCGCACAGAUGCAUAUCAAUAAGCGGAGGAAAAGAAACUAACAAGGAUUCCCCUAGUAACGGCGAGUGAAGCGGGAAGAGCUCAAAUUUGAAAUCUUAAAGGGUUUCCCUUUACGAAUUGUAGUUUAAAGAAGUGUUUUCUGUUGAGGUUUUGGUAAAAGUUCUUUGGAAUAGGACAUCAUAGAGGGUGAGAAUCCCGUAUUUGACCUUUACUUUCAACUUUGUGAUACACUUUCAAAGAGUCGGACUGUUUGGGAAUGCAGUCCAAAAUGGGUGGUAAAUUUCAUCUAAAGCUAAAUAUUGGCGAGAGACCGAUAGCGAACAAGUACCGUGAGGGAAAGAUGAAAAGAACUUUGAAAAGAGAGUUAAACAGUACGUGAAAUUGUCAAAAGGGAAGCGUUUGACACCAGUGUUGUUUUUCUGAAAAUCAAUUAAAGAACUGUUUAUGCUAAGUUGUUUAGACUUUAUCAGCUAACUGUUUAGUUUUGAGCUUUUCUUUAAUGCACUUUUCAGUUAACAAGUCAACAUCAAUUUCUUUUGCUGUAAAAAAGCUUGAGGAAGGUGGCUUGAGAUUCGUCUUAAGUGUUUAUAGCCUCUUGCCUAUGCAGUCGGAGAGAUUGAGGUCUGCAGCGUAGAUCCUUCGGGGCUAAAUGCAUUUGUGCUAAGUUAUAGCAUUUUAUAGACAACUUGUUGACUAUGAUUUGUCUUGUAGCUUACUCGCUUAUGUUAUUUUACCUACGCUUAGGAUGUUGAUCUGUAGUGCGUGCGC